RNAcentral lists this ribosomal RNA (468 nucleotides) under uncultured bacterium. RNAcentral describes it as "partial 16S ribosomal RNA". It matches the Rfam family "Bacterial small subunit ribosomal RNA", at positions 28 to 507 of the family's 1533-position model. The record is from RNAcentral.
GACGAACGCUGGCGGCGUGCUUAACACAUGCAAGUCGAACGGAAAGGCCCUGCUUUUGUGGGGUGCUCGAGUGGCGAACGGGUGAGUAACACGUGAGUAACCUGCCCUUGACUUUGGGAUAACUUCAGGAAACUGGGGCUAAUACCGGAUAGGAGCUCCUGCUGCAUGGUGGGGGUUGGAAAGUUUCGGCGGUUGGGGAUGGACUCGCGGCUUAUCAGCUUGUUGGUGGGGUAGUGACUUACCAAGGCUUUGACGGGUAGCCGGCCUGAGAGGGUGACCGGCCACAUUGGGACUGAGAUACGGCCCAGACUCCUACGGGAGGCAGCAGUGGGGAAUAUUGCACAAUGGGCGGAAGCCUGAUGCAGCAACGCCGCGUGCGGGAUGACGGCCUUCGGGUUGUAAACCGCUUUCGCCUGUGACGAAGCGUGAGUGGCGGUAAUGGGUAAAGAAGCACCGGCUAACUACGUG